This 1053-nucleotide long non-coding RNA is filed under the name Phasianus colchicus (ring-necked pheasant). RNAcentral's name for it is "lncRNA (ENSPCLG00000017675.1)". The record is from RNAcentral. Lineage: Eukaryota; Metazoa; Chordata; Aves; Galliformes; Phasianidae.
GCUAUCGGGGCGAAAUAGGGCUGUAAGGGGCUAUACAAUUCUAUUGGGGAGGUACAGGGGUUGUGGAGGGAUAUAGGGAGAUAUGGGACAAUAGGGGGGGUGUUAUAGGGGGAUGUAGAAUUAUAAGGGGUGUUAUAGAGGGAUAUAGGGUUAUAAGGGUUUGUGGUGGGCUGUGAGAGGGUUUGGGGUGAUAGGAGGCAGGGGGCUACAGAGAGGGAUGUUGUGCUAUGAGGGGUUGUGAGGGAGGCUGUGGGGAGGAUAUAGGGUGGCAGUGGGAGUCUAUUGGUGGGUAUAGGGAGAAUGGGGCUAUAGGGAUUAUAUGGGGGAUAUGGAUUUCAAAGGGGCUGUGUGGGGCCAUAGGGUGAUACGGGGCUAUAGGGUGGGCCAUAACGGGAUGUGGGGCUAAAAGGCUGUCCCUACCUUUGCCCCCCUACUUUUGCCCCCUCCCUUUCCCCCUUCCAUAGCAGGGUGGGUGAAAUGCUGGUCAUGAAACUUAAAUCAGAAUUGAACUUGUAUUGGAAUAGAAUAUGAUUAUUUUGUGGUCUUAAAUCUGAAACGUGUUUUCUCCUUAGAUGCAGGUAUUGUUUAUUAAGGACUUUGGAGAAGGUUUCAGUAUGAAAUCUCCUGAUCAGGAAGAAAGAGGAAUGUUUUGGAGGACUUAAUCACGAGUGGAGCUGCUGCUGACCCUCCUCUUGCAACCAGCAAGCAGGCUGGGCAGACACGGGAAGCACUGCCUGCAGCAGCAGCAGCUGAGCUCUGUGUGCCAGAGGACGGAACGCGGCGUCUGGAGGAGCAGGAGGAGGAGAGCCUGCGUGACUCUGUGUGUUCUGCAGGGCCGUUCCUCACAGACUGCCACUGACAGACGUUGGGGCACUGCAGAGCCUGUUGGUGCGGAGGAGGUAAAGCGGUGUUGGUGUGUAAUGCCAUUUGAUCUGUGUGCAUGCAGAAUGUCCCCGUGUUUGUAUUUCUCAGUGUUUGUGGCCCUGCUUUUGUUCAAAGGUGUCAGACCUCCGUGCGUCUUUGCUCCCCCUCCAGCUGGUUUGGAGAAGUGUC